AAAAAUGGAAAAAAAUAAAAGUUUUGGGGACCAAAGACUAUUUAUAGGCUUAAAUCUACCAUUAAGAAUUUAAAGCGAUUAAAAUCCAUUACCACUCAAUUUAAAUAGUCAUAUUAAUUUUCAUUAAAACCAUAAAAAUCAUACUCUUUUCAUAACCAAAAUCCCAUUAGUUAUGGACCAUAAUAAAAUUGGUUUUUAUUAUCAAUAAUUAUUGUUAUUAAAACAAACUUUAAAAAAAC
This 239-nucleotide long non-coding RNA is filed under the name Lathyrus oleraceus (garden pea). RNAcentral's name for it is "Pisum sativum (pea) long non-coding RNA (PSAT_LNC029850)". The record is from RNAcentral. Lineage: Eukaryota; Viridiplantae; Streptophyta; Magnoliopsida; Fabales; Fabaceae.